GAUGAACGCUGGCGGCGUGCCUAAUACAUGCAAGUCGAGCGAACGGACGAGAAGCUUGCUUUUCUGAUGUUAGCGGCGGACGGGUGAGUAACACGUGGAUAACCUACCUAUAAGACUGGGAUAACUUCGGGAAACCGGAGCUAAUACCGGAUAAUAUUUUGAACCGCAUGGUUCAAAAGUGAAAGACGGUCUUGCUGUCACUUAUAGAUGGAUCCGCGCUGCAUUAGCUAGUUGGUAAGGUAACGGGUUACCAAGGCAACGAUGCAUAGCCGACCUGAGAGGGUGAUCGGCCACACUGGAACUGAGACACGGUCCAGACUCCUACGGGAGGCAGCAGUAGGGAAUCUUCCGCAAUGGGCGAAAGCCUGACGGAGCAACGCCGCGUGAGUGAUGAAGGUCUUCGGAUCGUAAAACUCUGUUAUUAGGGAAGAACAUAUGUGUAAGUAACUGUGCACAUCUUGACGGUACCUAAUCAGAAAGCCACGGCUAACUACGUG
This 497-nucleotide ribosomal RNA is filed under the name uncultured bacterium. Its description in RNAcentral is "partial 16S ribosomal RNA". It matches the Rfam family "Bacterial small subunit ribosomal RNA", at positions 28 to 507 of the family's 1533-position model. The record is from RNAcentral.